GCUUGUGAGGUCCUUUCUAAUUAACCACAUGGUACCAAGUUCUGCUAAAGGAUACAUGUACAUGAAGACUGCUGCAGAGAACUAGAAGUCACUCAAAGACGCAUAUUCUGAAGCCGGUAAUGAAGCUCAGAUUUACAAAUUGAAGAACAUCCAGGAAUUGAAGCCGGAAGGUAUGACGGUGCCUCAAUACUCUUCAGAACUGUGCAGUAUGUGGCAAGAAGUCGAUGUUAACAAGUGGGAUGAGCAUAAAGAUUUGGAUGCUGAAGUGAUUACUCGCUUACAGGCUUAAGAGGACAAGAACCGAUUUUAUCGGUUCUUAAUGGGUUUGACAGGGGCAUUCAGCAUAGUGAGGCAGAAUGUCCUGCAGAGAGACCUUUCCAACCUUUCAACAGGCUU
RNAcentral lists this long non-coding RNA (396 nucleotides) under Panax ginseng (ginseng). RNAcentral describes it as "long non-coding RNA (PGIN_LNC012186)". Lineage: Eukaryota; Viridiplantae; Streptophyta; Magnoliopsida; Apiales; Araliaceae. The record is from RNAcentral.